This 84-nucleotide transfer RNA is filed under the name Candidatus Parcubacteria bacterium. RNAcentral's name for it is "tRNA-Tyr". It matches the Rfam family "tRNA". From Rfam's summary of the family: Transfer RNA (tRNA) molecules are approximately 80 nucleotides in length. Their secondary structure includes four short double-helical elements and three loops (D, anti-codon, and T loops). The record is from RNAcentral. Lineage: Bacteria; Candidatus Parcubacteria.
GCGUCGGUGACGGAGUGGUCAAUCGUAACUGGCUGUAAACCAGUCGCCCUAUGGGCUACGCAGGUUCGAAUCCUGCCCGGCGCA